Molecule: ribosomal RNA, 608 nt
Filed under: uncultured fungus
Lineage: Eukaryota; Fungi
Description: eukaryotic LSU rRNA
Rfam family: Eukaryotic large subunit ribosomal RNA
Source: RNAcentral
AUAUCAAUAAGCGGAGGAAAAGACACCAACAGGGAUUCCCUUAGUAACGGCGAGUGAAAAGGGAGAAGCGCAACAUGGGAAUCGGGCCGCAAGGUUCGAGUUGUAGGUUGCAUUGCUUGCCUUGGAUGAAGCGGCGUGUAAGUCUCUUGGAAUAGAGCAGCACAGAGGGUGAUACUCCCGUAACGCGCUGCAGAGUCUGUGAUGGCAAGUAAUAGGCGAGUCGAGUUGUUUGGGAAUGCAGCUCCAACGGGUGGUAAACUCCAUCCAACGCUAAAUACUGGUGAGAGACCGAUAGCAAACAAGUACCGUGAGGGAAAGAUGAAAAGCACCUUGAAAAGGGCGUUAAAAGAAUGUGAAAUCGUUAAGGGGGAAGCGUUGCCAGCGAGUGCAGUAUAAUGCAGAUCAUGUACUCUAUUAGGGUGCUGCACUGUGUGUUGUACUGGUCCACGUCAGUUUUGGUUGCUGGAUAAUCUCUCUGGAAGGUAGCGUUCUCGGACGUGUUAAGCCAGGGAGGGCGCAGUGACUGGGACUGAGGACCGCCGUGCACGUUUGCGGGGCCUUCUAUCUCUGGGAUAUUGCCAGCUGGUGCAUCUUUGAUGAGCUAGUUG